This is a non-coding RNA of Paramuricea clavata, 169 nucleotides long. NCBI's taxonomy places the organism in Eukaryota, Metazoa, Cnidaria, Anthozoa, Malacalcyonacea, Plexauridae. The record is from the annotation of a GenBank genome assembly.
AUAGGUAAUAGCAUGGUUUCAAGUGCAAUUUGGAUAUAACAUGCACAAGUGAGUUUUUCAAAGACCUCAAAAUAGCACGAGUCCGAAAAACCAGUGCUAUUUGAGGUCUUUGAAAAACUCACGAGUGCAUGUUUAUCCAAAUUUCAUGAGAAACCAUGCUAUUACUUAU